This 747-nucleotide long non-coding RNA is filed under the name Lepisosteus oculatus (spotted gar). Its description in RNAcentral is "lncRNA (ENSLOCG00000022861.1)". Lineage: Eukaryota; Metazoa; Chordata; Actinopteri; Semionotiformes; Lepisosteidae. The record is from RNAcentral.
AUUAAAGAGACGUCCAGACAAGGAGGUGUAAGUACGACAACACUUAGAGGUGCAGUCUGGGGAGGGGCCAGGUGACAUUUACAUAGUUAAAUCACAGGAAUGAUUCGAAUAUACGAGCAGGCAGGAGGUGAGGGAAUAGAGAGAGCAGUUGUCGAGAGGAAAAGGAAAGAUGACCUUUGAACGGGAGAUGCAACCAAACCAGUAUUACUGUCAGUCUUUUUCUUUCAGAGUAUCCUGAGAUACGGUUGCAGGCUCUUGGCCCCGAGGUGAGUAGCCCUUUGAAUUGAAUGCAGCAAUUGCUAACAUCUACUCCCAGAGCUUAUACCACAUGCGCAGAUUAAUAACGCAGGGGACCGAUGAUCAUGCAGCUCUCCAGUUUCACAGAAUGCUCCGAGUGUUACAAUGAGGUUAUGCGGUAGCGGUGGAUGGACCCAUCGGCACAUUCUGCCAGCUAAGUCCGCCAGCAAAUAUCAAAUGUAUAUAUUAUUUCGGUACACUGUAUUGCCAGUAACCUGAAGCUUAUUUCAUAUGUUAUUAAUCAACGAUAAGCAAUUUAAUUUUCCAAAUGUCUCCAUUGUGCCCCAGCUGUGUCCAUUAACAGAUCACGAGGCAGGCAGGGGUAGCAGAGGUGAUCUGAACGGGCUGGGUGUUUCGCUCGCUCUCACAACCUCUGAAAGACGGCUCUGGCGAUCUGCAUUCCUUCAUCCCGUGAGGAGUCUGGCUGUGGAACGGAAGUGGCAUUCUUAA